UGGGCCAAUCAUUGUUUGAAGCUGUUGGCCU
Molecule: non-coding RNA, 31 nt
Filed under: Rattus norvegicus (Norway rat)
Lineage: Eukaryota; Metazoa; Chordata; Mammalia; Rodentia; Muridae
Source: RNAcentral